GUACUGCUGAUGAGUCCCAUACUAGGAUGAGAUGGCCAUCCAGUAC
This is a non-coding RNA of Schistosoma curassoni, 46 nucleotides long. Lineage: Eukaryota; Metazoa; Platyhelminthes; Trematoda; Strigeidida; Schistosomatidae. The record is from Rfam.